RNAcentral lists this ribosomal RNA (253 nucleotides) under uncultured bacterium. RNAcentral describes it as "partial 16S ribosomal RNA". It matches the Rfam family "Bacterial small subunit ribosomal RNA", at positions 524 to 776 of the family's 1533-position model. The record is from RNAcentral.
UACGAAGGGGGCUAGCGUUGCUCGGAAUCACUGGGCGUAAAGCGCACGUAGGCGGCUUCUUAAGUCGGGGGUGAAAUCCUGGAGCUCAACUCCAGAACUGCCUUCGAUACUGAGGAGCUUGAGUCCGGGAGAGGUGAGUGGAACUGCGAGUGUAGAGGUGAAAUUCGUAGAUAUUCGCAAGAACACCAGUGGCGAAGGCGGCUCGCGGGCCCGGUACUGACGCUGAGGUGCGAAAGCGUGGGGAGCAAACAGG